Molecule: long non-coding RNA, 3821 nt
Filed under: Canis lupus familiaris (dog)
Lineage: Eukaryota; Metazoa; Chordata; Mammalia; Carnivora; Canidae
Description: lncRNA (ENSCAFG00030024454.1)
Source: RNAcentral
AUGGCUGCCAUAAUUUCUAUCCAAGCAGAGGAAAUAGAGGUGAACUAUAGAGUGAGAGCCAGUUUCCUCUCUGCUGUACAAUCUAGGAGAAAAAAACCUUUACCCAAGGACAAAUCAGAUCACGAAGAGCCCUGUGGUCCCAAUCACAGGUCAUUUUGCCUGAAUGGAGGGAUUUGUUAAGUGAUACCUACUAUUCCCAGCCCAUUUAGUAGGUAAGUGAAAUGGACUGAGGUGGGGAAGGGUAAUUUUAUUUUUUAUCGUCUACUAACUUCUUUGAGAAGUGGUAAAUAUUGAACAAAAAGUAUAAGAUGAAAAAAUAUGAGGAAUUCUCUUCAUAGUUACAUAGAACGAGAUUAUACUUUUAAAACAAAAAACAAAGUAGCAAAUCAGUUUUGCUCAAAGUGUUUGUUUUGAAAACUGGUGGUAGUUUCAAGCCUAGUCCGAUUUUUACAAUUUUUACGAUGUUCAUUUCAGUGAACUCUGUAUGAUUUUAGCAAUUUAGGGAAGACACUCUGUGUUUAAUAAUAUUACUGACAAAACAGAUAAUUCACUAGUGUAAAAAAGUCCAACACGAGACGUUUUGCUCUGGGUUUCGAAUACAUAAAUACAUGAUAGCUGUGUUGGUACCAAAGUUUACGUUUGAUAUAUUAAAAAGAAAAGCAUUAGGUUUUUCUAAGGGUGUCAUCAAGUAAAAAAAGAAGGCUGUCCCAGCUACUAUUGUUUUAAAUAAAAUGAUUCACAUUGGGAGUAUAUACGUAGCCACAUCAAUAAAAGACUUGAAAAUAGUACUUAUUUAGCUGGCUUCUUUUGAGUUUGGUUGAGUGCAAUUUAAGAGGGACAUAAUAAACCUCUAUUAAUUUAUUUAUUUAAGAUAAAAAAUUUUAUGAAAGAGAGCAAGAGCAAGCAUAAGUGGGAGUGGGAGGAGCAGAGGGAGAGGGACAAGCAGAUUCCCUGCUGAGCAGGAAGCCCGACACGGGGCUGAUUCCAGGACCCUGAGGUAUGACCUGAGCCAAAGGCAGACGUUCAACCAACUGAGCCACCCAGGUGUCCUAAUAAUCCUCUUUUAAUACAUGAAUUAGCAGCAUAUUACUAUAAUGACACCGUGGACUUUAGUGGAGCAAACACCUAAGGAUCUCAGGAUAUUGUGGCACGUGCAUGAAUUGCUCUAUUUUUAUUCUUUAACUGAAAUGAGAGGUAUAGAAUCUAGAUUUAAGAUCUUUCUAAAGUGAAAUUCAUAGGAAAAGUGAAAAAUAUUGAGGUUUAGUAUGGAAGAGAGGAGGCAGAGAAAUAAUCUCAUGAUUAUUUCAAGAUGUUCUUAGAGGUUUUCCUAUGGGAAAUAGUGACUAAGUGUUUUUCCUGUCAAGUUAAUAAAGUGGAAAAGCAGGGGAUACAAGAACAAAUCAUCCAUUGUUUUGUACCCACUAGGUGCCUCUACAUUUUUCUUUUUAAAAUCUAUUUACUAAGAUAUAAUUUAUGAAUGAUAUAUUGCAUCCUUAAAAGUGCACAAUUGAGGGAUUUUGACAGAUGUUUAUACCUGUGAAACCACCACCACCAUAACAACAUCAGAACAUUUCUAUUAUUCCACAUUUGCUGAUCAUAUUUUUAAUUUGUAUUUUCAUGUUUCAUCUCACAAAAACCUAAGAGAAGGGGAGAGAAAACCUAAGGAAAUAGAAAAAUAAGAGGAAAAUAAGAAGUGACUUGCCAAAGGCCAUACAAGUAGGAUUAAAGAGAUGUCCUUGGAGUACAACUUCCAAGUUUCACCUAAUCUUAUGGUAUAUUCAUUCUGAAUUCUUUCUAAUGGGAUAGGAUAUGUGGCAUUCAUAAAAUGAAACCAAAAUACUCAUCAGAACAAAUACAUUUCAUAAUUAAAAGAUACUGACAUUUUGUAUAUUGAUCGUAGUGAGGGCUACUUGGAUUAAAAAGACUGUCCUUUCUCCAUUGAAUUACCUUUGCACCUUUGUCAAAAAUCAAUUGAUCAUAUAUGUGUGGAUCAAUUUCUGGAUUAUUUUAUUUCAUUGAUCUAUGUUUUCAUGUUUUAUGAAUACCAGACCAUCUUGAUAACUAACUUUAUAAUAAGUGAAAUCAGGUCAUGUGAGUCUUUAGCUUUGUUUUUCAUCUCAUUGAUCUUCAGUUUUCUUUUCUAAAAGACAGUAUUUAAUGUUAAAUUUUUCCAAACAUAUUUUAGCUGCGUCUUACAAAUUUUGUAGUUCAUUUCUAGUUAAACAUUUUUUUUCCAUUGUGAUUUCUUCUUUAACCUGAGUGGGGUUGUUGUUGUUUUUGCGUUAUCCUUUAACAUUUAUAUCUAAUUUAAUUGCAUUAUGGUCAUGGUAGGUACUUGGUCUAUCCAGCUUUGCCCUUAAUAUUUUUCCAUAUACUAAAGGUGUUUUUAUACUGCACUGAAUAAACUGAAAGAAAGAAUUAAGAGUACUGAAAUUUGGAGAAUCACUGAGAUAGGAAGAAAUGUAGUGUCUUAACUCAGGCUGCUAUAUAGCAAGAAACCCAUAGGCUGGGUGGAUUGUGAACAACAGAAAUUUAUUUCUCACAAUUGUGGUGGCCAGAAAUCUGAGAUCAAGGUGCCAGCAUGAUUGGGUUUUGGUGACUGUCUGCCUCGUGGUUUGCAGAUGCAUCUGGGUAGACCUUUUUUUUUUUGAUUGGCAGGUUUGUAUUCUGGAAGAUCUGGUAGGGAACCAGGUUUUAGACUGCAGCCAUUCUGUGGGAUUAAUACCCUCUGUGCAGUGUGGGUGGUGUAGCUUGGAGUUGUUGGACACUGAAAGGAAGGUGAAGUUGGGAGACAGAAAAAGGAAGGAAUAUGACUAAGGGUUAAGUGAAGUUGAAUGGCAGAUACAUUUUUAAGUCCUAGUAUUUUAUAAAAGUAAUUGCUCUCCAAUAAUAGCUCAGACCUUCAUUACCUCCUGCUUUGUCUAGAGAAAUAAUUUCCUGGGGGGGAUCCCUGGGUGGCUCAGCGGUUUAGCGUCUACCUUCAGCCCAGGACGUGAUCCUGGAGACCUGAGAUCAAGUCCCACGUCGGGCUCCCUGCAUGAGCCUGCUUCUCCCUCUGCCUGGGUCUCUGCCUCUCUCUCUCUGUGUCUCUCAUGAAUAAAUAAAUAAAAUCUUUAAAAAAAAUAAUUUCCUAAGCAAGUUUCUUGGAGCCUAAUUCUCAUUACGACUUCGGCAAUUUGUCACCCAGUCAUUUUUGAGGCCUUCUCUUCCUCCUUGGUCUGUGUUCUAACUAGUACAUUUACUAUCUAUGUUAAAUACACUCCCAUCCCUUCUUCCCGUCUACGCAUAUUCAAAUCCUACUUACAUUUCAAAGCUAUUUCCUCCCUCACUUCAUCACAAAUCAGAAUUAAUCUCUUCCUCCUCUGAAUAGAGAAAUAUGUGGAUCCUGGGACCAUGACCCAGCCAAAGGCAGAGGCUUUGAACAGCCUAGUAUUUUAACUGAGAUACCCAGUUGCUCCGCAUGUAGGGUAUUUUAAAUGGUCCGUGUGUACUAGAGAGAAAAGUGGAUUUUUUAAUUGAGGUGAAGAUUUUAUAUAUGGACAUUAGAUCAAGCAUGUUAAAAUGUGCUGUUUAGAUCUUUUAUGCCCUCGGGGCACUUGGGUGGCUUAGUGGCUGAGCAUCUGCCUUUGGCUCAGGGUGUGAUCCUGGGGUCCUGGGAUCGAGUCCCACAUUGGGCUCCCUGCAUGGGAGCCUGCUUCCCUCUCUGCCUGUGUCUCUGCCUCUCUCUCUCUCUCUCUCAAAUAAAUAAAUAAAUAAUAAAUAAAUAAAUAAAUAAAUAAAAUCUUUUAUGCCUUCAACUAAUUUUUUAUCAUUUUUUAAAA